RNAcentral lists this non-coding RNA (25 nucleotides) under Cricetulus griseus (Chinese hamster). The record is from RNAcentral. Lineage: Eukaryota; Metazoa; Chordata; Mammalia; Rodentia; Cricetidae.
CGGGUGUUGUAGGUUUUUCUUUUUC